This 348-nucleotide ribosomal RNA is filed under the name uncultured Helicobacter sp. RNAcentral describes it as "bacterial SSU rRNA". It matches the Rfam family "Bacterial small subunit ribosomal RNA", at positions 85 to 450 of the family's 1533-position model. Lineage: Bacteria; Pseudomonadati; Campylobacterota; Epsilonproteobacteria; Campylobacterales; Helicobacteraceae. The record is from RNAcentral.
AGAUGGAUUAGUGGCGCACGGGUGAGUAAUGCAUAGGUAACAUGCCCUUUAGUCUAGGAUAGCCACUGGAAACGGUGAUUAAUACUGGAUACUCCCUACGGGGGAAAGAAUUUCGCUAAAGGAUUGGUCUAUGUCCUAUCAGCUUGUUGGUGAGGUAAUAGCUCACCAAGGCUAUGACGGGUAUCCGGCCUGAGAGGGUGAACGGACACACUGGAACUGAGAUACGGUCUAGACUCCUACGGGAGGCAGCAGUAGGGAAUAUUGCUCAAUGGGGGAAACCCUGAAGCAGCAACGCCGCGUGGAGGAUGAAGGUUUUAGGAUUGUAAACUCCUUUUCUAAGAGAAGAUU